AGAGUUUGAUUCUGGCUCAGGAUGAACGCUAGCUACAGGCUAACACAUGCAAGUCGAGGGGCAGCAUGGGGUAGCAAUACUCAGAUGGCGACCGGCGCACGGGUGAGUAACACGUAUCCAACCUGCCGCUUACUCGGGGAUAGCCUUUCGAAAGAAAGAUUAAUACCCGAUGGUAUAAAGAGUUCGCAUGUUCUCUUUAUUAAAGAAUUUCGGUAAGCGAUGGGGAUGCGUUCCAUUAGAUAGUUGGCGGGGUAACGGCCCACCAAGUCUACGAUGGAUAGGGGUUCUGAGAGGAAGGUCCCCCACAUUGGAACUGAGACACGGUCCAAACUCCUACGGGAGGCAGCAGUGAGGAAUAUUGGUCAAUGGACGAGAGUCUGAACCAGGCCAAAAGGUAGCGUGAAGGAUGACUGCCCUAUGGGUUGUAAACUUUCUUUUAUAAGGGAAUAAAGUGAGGGACGUGUCCCUUUUUGUAUGUACCUUAUGAAUAAGGAUCGGCUAACUCCGUGCCAGCCGCGGC
Molecule: ribosomal RNA, 520 nt
Filed under: uncultured bacterium
Lineage: Bacteria
Description: bacterial SSU rRNA
Rfam family: Bacterial small subunit ribosomal RNA
Source: RNAcentral